GACGAACGCUGGCGGCGUGCUUAACACAUGCAAGUCGAGCGGAAAGGCCCUUUCGGGGGUACUCGAGCGGCGAACGGGUGAGUAACACGUGAGUAAUCUGCCCCUGGCUUUGGGAUAGCCACCGGAAACGGUGAUUAAUACCGGAUACGACCACUUCCCGCAUGGGAUGGUGGGGGAAAGUUCUUCGGCCAGGGAUGUGCUCGCGGCCUAUCAGCUUGAUGGUGAGGUAAUGGCUACCCAUGGCUUCGACGGGUAGCCGGGCUGAGAGGGUGACCGGUCACACUGGGACUGAGACACGGCCCAGACUCCUACGGGAGGCAGCAGUGGGGAAUAUUGGACAAUGGGCGGAAGCCUGAUCCAGCAACGCCGCGUGAGGGAUGACGGCCUUCGGGUUGUAAACCUCUUUCAGCAGGGACGAAGCGCAAGUGACGGUACCUGCAGAAGAAGCACCGGCCAACUACGUGCCAGCCGCCGCCGUAA
RNAcentral lists this ribosomal RNA (480 nucleotides) under uncultured bacterium. RNAcentral's name for it is "partial 16S ribosomal RNA". It matches the Rfam family "Bacterial small subunit ribosomal RNA", at positions 28 to 523 of the family's 1533-position model. The record is from RNAcentral.